Molecule: non-coding RNA, 74 nt
Organism: Turdus rufiventris (rufous-bellied thrush)
Lineage: Eukaryota; Metazoa; Chordata; Aves; Passeriformes; Turdidae
Source: the annotation of a GenBank genome assembly
AGUUCAUUAGCCUAGCUGGUCAGAGCAUCGUGCUAAUAAUGCCAGGACUGCAGGUUCAAUUCCAGUAUGGGCUA